CGGAAAGCUGAAGACAAAGACAAAAGAAAACAGCUGUCAGAAGAUCGAACUGCUGAAUUCAGACAGAGCCAUGGUUCUCAAAUGGAAGGCAAUUACGUCCUCUGGGGGACAUCUGACAAUGUCUGAAGAUACCUUUGAUGCCCCAAUUGAUGAGUACAGACAAGGUGUCACCACGCUGCCCAGGCUGGUCUCCAACUCCAGCUCCUGAGUUCAAGCGAUCCUCCUGCUCGGCCUCGGAAAGUGCUGGGAUUACAGGCAUGAGCCACACACCAGACCCUGUCUCUGCCUCUGAGGUGGGGAAAGAUAACGCUCGCCACGGCUAUAAUGAUGGCUUCCUGUCCUACACAUCCCACUCACAAGGGCGGGGUCCUCAACUAAGCUUGGGACUGCCUGUCGUUCUGCAAAUGACCCACUCUACAGACGUGCUGCAGCAGGGAAACCCCGCCAACCGAAAGUGCCUCGUGCUGAGGACGAGACGCCAGUCACUCCAUCCCAUCCGUAAAGUGAAGACGCAAUGACUUUUAAGGCUGCCCUAAUAUUCAUCAUCAUCUAACAACGGAGGCCUUACUAAAGAGGGAAAAGAAGUAAAUGCUGUGAGCGAAGGGACCAAAAAGGGGGUAACAUUUAAAGCAAUGAGCCCGGUCCUUCACACAUAAACUUCUGUGAGGUAUCAUUGAUAUCAUUUUACAGAUAAAGACACAGGGGAUUCGCAGGGGGAAAGCUGCACAAAGUCACAGAUCAAAGUCAGUGACACAGCAAGAAUCCAAGUCAAAAUCCGGAGCGGGAACGUGAGAAGGGGGCGGGGCGGGGCGGAACCGCCCGGGCACCUCUGCGCAGGGCCGGGCUGGAGGAGGCCACGCGACUUGAAAACACCCAAAGAGUCCGAUCCCACCACCGCGGCCCACAAGGUCCAGACCCCACGUCCGUCAGCCUCUUCACGCGGGACGCAGCGCUUGCCGGCGCGGCCCGGGCGGCCUUGUGUUCUCGGGGCCUGGCCCACCGCCCCGGAAGCCUGGAAUCCCGGGAGCGCGCCUGGCCGCCCCGCCACGCCAUCCCGGACCCACGCGGACGCCGGCGUCAGGAAAGGCCGCGCGAGGCGGCCACGCGGGACGGAGGGGCUUAGCCGGCGCGCCGCUCCAACGCCUCCCCUCCGAGCCGCGCUCUGGCUGCCGCGCGCGGCCGCGCCACUUACUGGCCAUGGCUCUCCCGGCAGGCAGCAACAGCGGCGCGGUCUGAGCGCUGGCGUCCGAGCGGAGCGCGGCGGCGCUGCGGUGGGCGGGGCCCACGUCAGAGGCCCCGCCCCUCCCGGCCCCGAGGAGAGGGAUCUGCAUUCCUUCCAGCGCGCCUCGAACGCCAGGACGGACUAACUGGACAGGCGGAGAAAGCAUGCUUCCAAAGGCAAAGGGCAAAAGGGAACGGCCUAAGUCGAGGUGGCGUGCUGUGAAUGUUUAACAACCAGACUUUUCAGGGAGGAAAGCCCUGAUUUGUAGCGUUUGCCCUUUCUCCGAAAAAGACUGAACUUCGAGCUGGUUGAAUCGCCUCUGUGGCCAGAGUGACACCGUAUACUGAUGGGCUUGAGCUAUUUGACCACGUCGCUGUGGCGGGGACGGAAUGACCUGGUUGGUUUAGGCACGCGAGACGUCUGUGGGAUCUGACUACAAGGCUGCUAGGCCAACGGGAAAGAUGCUGAGGGUUCUACACUAUGCCCUCAACAAGUCCGCUCUCGAAUACGUUGUCAUCUCUUUGCUAAUAUUCUUUUUCGUUUUGUUUGUUUGUUUUAGACAGGGUCUCACUCAUCCACUCAACCCGGAGUGCAGUGCAGCAGUCUCGGCUCAUUGCAGCCUCGACCUCCCGGGCUCAAGCGAUCCUCCCAUGUCAGCCUCCCAAGUAGCUGGGUCUACAGGCACGCACCACCGCGCCCGGCUAGUUCUUUAAGUUUUUUACCUUUAGUAGAGGUAGGGUCUUGCUGUGCUGCCCCGGCUGUUCUCAAACGCCUCAGCUCAAGCAACCCUACCGCCUUACCCUCCCAAAGUGCUGGGACUGUAGGCGUGACCUGUUGCGCCCAGCCUAAUAGACUAAGAUUUUUGCAUUUUUAUUUAUUAGAUUGCGUUUUAAUUUUUGUGUUUUGUGUUUUUGUACCUUGUCAGACUAGUGGAACAAAAAUCCAACUUACCACCUUUUGGAAUGCCCAGCAUAGUUUAAUUAUACUGAAACAGAUCCUGGUUUGUAAAAGAACACUAUUAAAACAUUUUGGGGGCAAUUAAGUACAUUUAAA
Molecule: long non-coding RNA, 2275 nt
Organism: Callithrix jacchus (white-tufted-ear marmoset)
Lineage: Eukaryota; Metazoa; Chordata; Mammalia; Primates; Cebidae
Source: RefSeq, a predicted model, not a curated record